UACGGAGGGUGCUAGCGUUAUCCGGAUUUACUGGGCGUAAAGGGUGCGUAGGCGGUAUUUCAAGUCGGUGGUUAAAGGCUAGGGCUCAACCGUAUUAAGCCGCCGAAACUGGCAGACUUGAGUGCAGGAGAGGAAAGUGGAAUUCUCAGUGUAGCGGUGAAAUGCUUAGAUAUUGAGAAGAACACCAGUAGCGAAGGCGGCUGUCGGGACUGUAACUGACACUGAGGCACGAGAGCGUGGGUAGCAAACAGG
Molecule: ribosomal RNA, 252 nt
Filed under: uncultured bacterium
Lineage: Bacteria
Description: partial 16S ribosomal RNA
Rfam family: Bacterial small subunit ribosomal RNA
Source: RNAcentral